AAAAAAAGGCUCUUCUUGAGCCCUGAAAAAAAAAGACUCUUCUUCAGCCCUGAAAAAAAAGACUCUUCUUCAGCCCUGAAAAAAAGACUCUUCUUCAGCCCUGAAAAAAAAAGACUCUUCUUCAGCCCUGAAAAAAAAGACUCCUCUUCAGCCCCGGGGAAAAAAAGGCUCUUCUUCAGUCCUGGAAAAAAAGGCUCUUCUUCAGCCCUGAAAAAAAGGCUCUUCUUCAGCCCUGAAAAAAAAGACUCUUUUUCAGCCCUGGAAAAAAGGCUCUUCUUCAGCCCCGGGAAAAAAAGGCUCUUCUUCAGCCCUGAAAAAAAAAGACUCUUCUUCAGCCCUGGAAAAAAGGCUCUUCUUCAGCCCUGAAAAAAGGCUCUUCUUCAGCCCUGGAAAAAAGCUCUUCUUCAGCCCUGGAAAAAAAAGGCUCUUCUUCAGCCCUGGAAAAAAAAGCUCUUUUUCAGCCCUGAAAAAAGGCUCUUCUUCAGCCCUGGAAAAAAAGGCUCUUCUUCAGCCCUGGAAAAAAGCUCUUCUUCAGCCCUGAAAAAAAAAGACUCUUUUUCAGCCCUGGGAAAAAAAAGGCUCUUCUUGAGCCCUGGAAAAAAGGCUCUUCUUCAGCCCUGAAAAAAAGCUCUUCUUCAGCCCUGAAAAAAGGCUCUUCUUGAGCCCUGAAAAAAAGUCUCUUCUUCAGCCCUGGAAAAAAGGCUCUUCUUCAGCCCUGAAAAAAGGCUCUUCUUCAGCCCUGGAAAAAAAAGGCUCUUCUUCAGCCCUGGAAAAAAAAGGCUCUUCUUCAGCCCUG
RNAcentral lists this long non-coding RNA (796 nucleotides) under Astyanax mexicanus (Mexican tetra). RNAcentral describes it as "lncRNA (ENSAMXG00005020303.1)". Lineage: Eukaryota; Metazoa; Chordata; Actinopteri; Characiformes; Acestrorhamphidae. The record is from RNAcentral.